GGCUCAGAACGAACGCUGGCGGCGUGGAUUAGGCAUGCAAGUCGAACGAGAAAGAUCACUUCGGUGAUUGAGUACAGUGGCAAACGGGUGAGUAACGCGUGGGAAAUCUGCCCUUUGGUUGGGGACAACACUCCUAACGGGGUGCUAAUACCGAAUAAGUUCUCUGUAUCGCAUGGUACAUUGAAGAAAGGCGGCCUCUGCUUGCAAGCUGUCACCGAAGGAUGAUCCCGCGUUCCAUUAGCUUGUUGGUGAGGUAACGGCUCACCAAGGCAACGAUGGAUAGCCGGCCUUAGCGGGUGACCGGCCACACUGGGACUGAGAUACGGCCCAGACUCCUACGGGAGGCAGCAGUCGAGAGGCAUCCACAAUGGGGGCAACCCUGAUGGUGCGACGCCGCGUGGGUGAUGAAGGUUUUCGGAUCGUAAAACCCUUUCAGCAGGGACGAAGGAAGCGGCGGUUAAUAUCCGUCGCAGUCAGACGGUACCUGCAGAAGAAGCUCCGGCUAACUCCGUGCCAGCAGCCGCGGUAAGACGGAGGGAGCAAGCGUUGUUCGGAAUUACUGGGCGUAAAGGGCGUCUAGGCGGACUGAUUAGUCAGGUGUGAAAUCCCCCGGCUCAACCGGGGAACUGCACUUGAUACUGUCAGUCUUGAGUUCGGAAGAGGAAAGCGGAAUUCCUGGUGUAGCGGUGAAAUGCGUAGAUAUCAGGAAGAACACCGGUGGCGAAGGCGGCUUUCUGGUCCGAAACUGACGCUGAAGCGCGAAAGUGUGGGUAGCAAACACGAUUAGAUACCCUGGUAGUCCGCACUGUAAACGAUGGAUACUAGGUGUCGGGGGUAUCGACCCCUCCGGUGCCGGAGUUAACGCAUUAAGUAUCCCGCCUGGGGAGUACGGUCGCAAGGCUGAAACUCAAGGAAUUGACCGGGACCCGCACAAGCGGUGGAGCAUGUGCUUAAUUCGACGCAACG
RNAcentral lists this ribosomal RNA (966 nucleotides) under uncultured organism. Its description in RNAcentral is "bacterial SSU rRNA". It matches the Rfam family "Bacterial small subunit ribosomal RNA", at positions 21 to 961 of the family's 1533-position model. The record is from RNAcentral.